ACGAACGCUGGCGGCAUGCCUAACACCUGCAAGUCGAACGAGACCUUCGGGUCUAGUGGCGCACGGGUGCGUAACGCGUGGGAACCUGCCCUUAGGUUCGGAAUAACUCCCCGAAAGGGGUGCUAAUACCGGAUAAUGUCUUCGGACCAAAGAUUUAUCGCCUUUGGAUGGGCCCGCGUUGGAUUAGCUAGUUGGUAGGGUAAAAGCCUACCAAGGCGACGAUCCAUAGCUGGUCUGAGAGGAUGAUCAGCCACACUGGGACUGAGACACGGCCCAGACUCCUACGGGAGGCAGCAGUGGGGAAUAUUGGACAAUGGGCGAAAGCCUGAUCCAGCAAUGCCGCGUGAGUGAUGAAGGCCUUAGGGUUGUAAAGCUCUUUUACCCGGGAUGAUAAUGACAGUACCGGGAGAAUAAGCUCCGGCUAACUCCGUG
RNAcentral lists this ribosomal RNA (432 nucleotides) under uncultured bacterium. Its description in RNAcentral is "partial 16S ribosomal RNA". It matches the Rfam family "Bacterial small subunit ribosomal RNA", at positions 29 to 507 of the family's 1533-position model. The record is from RNAcentral.